ACGCACGCUGGCGGCAGGCCUAACACAUGCAAGUCGAGCGAGGACUUCGGUUCUAGCGGCGGACGGGUGAGUAACGCGUGGGAAUGUGCCCUUCUCUACGGAAUAGCCCUGGGAAACUGGGAGUAAUACCGUAUACGCCCUUUUGGGGAAAGAUUUAUCGGAGAAGGAUCAGCCCGCGUUGGAUUAGGUAGUUGGUGGGGUAAUGGCCUACCAAGCCGACGAUCCAUAGCUGGUUUGAGAGGAUGAUCAGCCACACUGGGACUGAGACACGGCCCAGACUCCUACGGGAGGCAGCAGUGGGGAAUCUUAGACAAUGGGGGCAACCCUGAUCUAGCCAUGCCGCGUGAGUGAUGAAGGCCUUAGGGUUGUAAAGCUCUUUCAGCUGGGAAGAUAAUGACGGUACCAGCAGAAGAAGCCCCGGCUAACUCCGUG
RNAcentral lists this ribosomal RNA (432 nucleotides) under uncultured bacterium. RNAcentral's name for it is "partial 16S ribosomal RNA". It matches the Rfam family "Bacterial small subunit ribosomal RNA", at positions 29 to 507 of the family's 1533-position model. The record is from RNAcentral.